CCUACGGGGUGCAGCAGUGGGGGAUAUUGGACAAUGGGGGCAACCCUGAUCCAGCGAAGCCGCGUGAGUGAAGAAGUAUCUCGGUAUUUAAAGCUCUGUCAGCCGGGAAGAAAGAAAUGCCGGUACCUGACCAAGAAGCCUAGGCUAACUACGUGCCAGCAGCCGCGGGAAUACGUAGGGCGCAAGAGUUAUGCGGAAUUACUGGGUGUAAAGGGAGCGUAGACGGUGAGGCAAGGCUGGAGGUAAAGGCGGGAGGCCAACCCCCGGACAGGUGUGGAAACUGUGUAACUUGAGUGCGGGAGAGGUAAGCGGAAUGCGUGGUGUAGCGGUGAAAUGCGUAGAUAUUACGAGGAACACCGGUGGCGAAGGCAGCAUACUGGAGUGUAACUGACGUUGAGGCUCGAAAGCGUGGGGAGCGAACAGGAUUAGAUACCCUUGUAGUC
RNAcentral lists this ribosomal RNA (443 nucleotides) under uncultured bacterium. Its description in RNAcentral is "partial 16S ribosomal RNA". It matches the Rfam family "Bacterial small subunit ribosomal RNA", at positions 338 to 795 of the family's 1533-position model. The record is from RNAcentral.